CUUAACUCCAGACACGGCUCCAGGUCACCACCAUGCCGGAAUAGCAGGUCACGGAAAGAUCAUCUUCUAACACCUCGCCUGACACCAUACCCAACAUCAAAUAUGACCUGCUACCCAAGAACUAUUCACGAACUGAAUUGGGGACUCCACAGCCAAUUACUGGGGUCACAAUCUAACCAACUCUUACUUUGCAGGUACCCCUCCAGCACGACCCAUGACCAGACAACCAACCCCCGCCCUUGCCCCACAAGACGAACCCCUCAGAACGCACUGGUACCCACACCACCCCCCUCCCAUGACCCAGGACAGACUCCAUGAGCUAACCCAACCAGACAGUCCCACCCUCCCCCAUACCUAAACAAACCCCAG
Non-coding RNA from Pelobates cultripes (western spadefoot toad), 369 nucleotides. The record is from the annotation of a GenBank genome assembly. NCBI's taxonomy places the organism in Eukaryota, Metazoa, Chordata, Amphibia, Anura, Pelobatidae.